GAGUUUGAUCCUGGCUCAGAACGAACGCUGGCGGCAGGCCUAACACAUGCAAGUCGAGCGCGCCUUUCGGGGUGAGCGGCGGACGGGUUAGUAACGCGUGGGAAUAUGCCCAAAGGUACGGAAUAGCCUCUGGAAACGGAGAGUAAUACCGUAUGUGCCCUUCGGGGGAAAGAUUUAUCGCCUUUGGAUUAGCCCGCGUUAGAUUAGGUAGUUGGUGGGGUAAUGGCCUACCAAGCCUACGAUCUAUAGCUGGUUUUAGAGGAUGAUCAGCAACACUGGGACUGAGACACGGCCCAGACUCCUACGGGAGGCAGCAGUGGGGAAUCUUGGACAAUGGGGGCAACCCUGAUCCAGCCAUGCCGCGUGAGUGAUGAAGGCCUUAGGGUCGUAAAGCUCUUUCGCCUGUGAAGAUAAUGACGGUAGCAGGUAAAGAAACCCCGGCUAACUCCGUGCCAGCAGCCGCGGUAAUACGGAGGGGGUUAGCGUUGUUCGGAAUUACUGGGCGUAAAGCGCACGUAGGCGGACCAGAAAGUUGGGGGUGAAAUCCCGGGGCUCAACCCCGGAACUGCCUCCAAAACUAUUGGUCUAGAGUUCGAGAGAGGUGGGUGGAAUUCCAAGUGUAGAGGUGAAAUUCGUAGAUAUUUGGAGGAACACCAGUGGCGAAGGCGGCUCACUGGCUCGAUACUGACGCUGAGGUGCGAAAGUGUGGGGAGCAAACAGGAUUAGAUACCCCUGGUAGUC
Molecule: ribosomal RNA, 741 nt
Filed under: uncultured marine bacterium
Lineage: Bacteria
Description: bacterial SSU rRNA
Rfam family: Bacterial small subunit ribosomal RNA
Source: RNAcentral